Molecule: ribosomal RNA, 449 nt
Filed under: uncultured bacterium
Lineage: Bacteria
Description: partial 16S ribosomal RNA
Rfam family: Bacterial small subunit ribosomal RNA
Source: RNAcentral
GUGGGGAAUAUUGGACAAUGGGCGAAAGCCUGAUCCAGCCAUGCCGCGUGUGUGAAGAAGGUCUUCGGAUUGUAAAGCACUUUAAGUUGGGAGGAAGGGCAGUAAGUUAAUACCUUGCUGUUUUGACGUUACCGACAGAAUAAGCACCGGCUAACUUCGUGCCAGCAGCCGCGGUAAUACGACGGGUGCAAGCGUUAAUCGGAAUUACUGGGCGUAAAGCGCGCGUAGGUGGUUUUGUAAGUUGGAGGUGAAUCCCCGGGCUCAACCUGGGAACUGCCUCCAAAACUGCAUGACUAGAGUACGGUAGAGGGUAGUGGAAUUUCCUGUGUAGCGGUGAAAUGCGUAGAUAUAGGAAGGAACACCAGUGGCGAAGGCGACUACCUGGACUGAUACUGACACUGAGGUACGAAAGCGUGGGGAGCAAACAGGAUUAGAAACCCUAGUAGUCC